RNAcentral lists this ribosomal RNA (253 nucleotides) under uncultured bacterium. RNAcentral describes it as "partial 16S ribosomal RNA". It matches the Rfam family "Bacterial small subunit ribosomal RNA", at positions 524 to 776 of the family's 1533-position model. The record is from RNAcentral.
UACGAAGGGGGCUAGCGUUGUUCGGAAUCACUGGGCGUAAAGGGCGCGUAGGCGGCCUGAUAAGUAGGGGGUGAAAUCCUGCGGCUUAACCGCAGGGCUGCCUUCUAAACUGUCAGGCUAGAGCACAGUAGAGGCAGGUGGAAUUCCCGGUGUAGCGGUGGAAUGCGUAGAGAUCGGGAAGAACAUCAGUGGCGAAGGCGGCCUGGUGGGCUGUUGCUGACGCUGAGGCGCGACAGCGUGGGGAGCAAACAGG